RNAcentral lists this long non-coding RNA (931 nucleotides) under Equus caballus (horse). Its description in RNAcentral is "lncRNA (ENSECAG00000031015.2)". Lineage: Eukaryota; Metazoa; Chordata; Mammalia; Perissodactyla; Equidae. The record is from RNAcentral.
CGUGUAACUACCACCAUGAAGAUAUGGAGCAUUUCAAUUAUCUCAGAAAGUUCCCUUAUGGCCUUUUGUUGUCACCUCCAGCCCCUGGUAGCCACUAUCUGUUUUUGUUUCUACAGUUUACCUUUUCCAGAAUGUCAUAUAAAUGACAUGGACUCAUACGGUAUGUAGCUUUUUUUUUUUUUUCCCGAGUAAGACUGGCCCUGAGCUAAUAUCCGUGCCCAUCUUCCUCUACUUUAUAUGUGGGACACCUACCACAGCAUGGCUUGCCAAGCGGUGCUACGUCUGCACCUGGGAUCCAAACCGGUGAACCCCGGGCUGCCGAAGCGGAACAUGUGAACUUAACCACUGUGCCACUGGGCCGGCCCCCAUUUUAGUCGUGGGUCCUUCUAGUUAUGGCAUGUGGGAUGCCACCUAAGCAUGACCUGACAAGCAGUGCCAUGUCCGUGCCCAGGAUCCAAACCCACAAAACCCUGGGCCACCGAAGCAGAGCGCGGGAACUUAACCAAUCGGCCACGGGGCUGGUCCGGAGUCAAGAAGAGGCCCAGUGGGGACAAUUUUGGAGGUCAGCCCAGGCUGAAGUGGAUGGCCAAUUGACACCAAGCGGAACGAUGGACAACCAUGUUAAUAGAUCUCCUGAUUUUCCAAGAGAAGUUAGAAAUUUCUAUUUUUAUAUGAAAUCUCCUGUUUUUAAACGUUGGCAACUGAUUCAAAAUAAUUUUAAACACUUUGAAAGAUAAAUAAAAUGUGUCUGCAGGCAGCCCAGUUUGUGACCUCUUCUUCUAGAAGUCCCCUAGAGAAGACUUAGCAAUAAUUACUCUUCGGAGCCUCCCCAACUUUACCCCAUUCUCACCUCCACCCCUCCCUCAUUAACUCCCUCCCUAAUUAACUGUUCUUUGACCUCAGUUACUAAAGCAAUUUAUAUGUAUGUCUG